UUUAAUAUGGCAGAUAAGUGCAGUAGAUUUAAAUUCUAUAAAUAAAGUUAUUUUUUAUUAAAA
RNAcentral lists this transfer RNA (63 nucleotides) under Calopompilus maculipennis. RNAcentral's name for it is "tRNA-Leu". The record is from RNAcentral. Lineage: Eukaryota; Metazoa; Arthropoda; Insecta; Hymenoptera; Pompilidae.